CGCAUGUUUUAAAUCGGUCAUACUUGCACACGAUGUAAAAAAGUAAUCUAACAUCGUUUUACGAAAAUACCGAUUUAAAUGUAUGUCAUUAACAUCAGUUCUUAAAAUGACCGGUGUUAAAAGUUUUGUUCGAAAAUUUGCGGGAACCUAUUUUUGCAAAUAGCGCUAAGUGUUUAAGUGAAUUGAAGGAAGCGGGUUCUAAAACUCAAAAUUCUCACACUUAGAAAAAAAAGCGCCCAACCCCAAAACUGAAACAGAAACCCUAACUCGAGCUCUAUCUCGACUCUCGACCUCCUUUCUGAACCAUACUCGAGCUCCUCCCAAACUCGAGCUCCUCCUCCUCAGUCGCCGCCAUUGUUACCCUCAUCGACUCCUUCAUCUACCUCCUCGUCUUCGUCUAGUCCUUCAUCUCACGCACCUCCCACUACGACGACGAGGUGCUCAUCAACUGCCGCUGCUGCCCUCCCCCAGCCAAACCCAAAUUCGUCCACACCGACCCCUCAUUGUGCUUCGAGGAGGACGAGGACAUCAUCCAAGCCGUUCUAAAUGGCGGCGUUCCUUCUUAGUCUCUCGAAUCGAAGCUCGGCGACUGCAAUAUCAUAGCGGCGAUUCGGUGCGAGUGGCUUCAGAGAACGACUAGGAGGUCACUAUAGGGUUUACCUCUCGAAGGUUUCGAUUACGACUCCAUUCUUGGACAGUGCUGCGAGUCGCCGGUCGGAGACGAAGUAAUAUUUAUAGAGUUUAAGAAGCUCGAGUUUGUGGGUGGGUUGAAGAACUGUGAAUUUUUGGAGAAAGUCAAGUCCAGCUUGGUUCUCAAUUUGCACUCAAUUUAUACAUUGUUUUCCAUGAGUUGGUGGGUCGACCGGCUUCCUUGUUGUACGGAAAGGAAAAAGUGAGGGUAUUUUAUGCUGUUAGGAUCUUUCUUGGUCUCAUCUCUGUUAUUACUGAAACCAUUCUAGUUUAUGCUCUGUCAAGAAAGUAUGGAAAAUGUCUUGCCUCGUAUACUUGCCAUGCUAUGCUUAACCAACGGUUGUUUCUUUGCUAGUACAAGUUUCUUGCCAAUUUCGUUCUCUAUGUAUGCUGUGACUGGUAAGUGAACUCUGCUCAUAACUAGUUACAGUUUCUUAUCGAACCUUUGUUAAAGUAACAAAGAUUAAAUCCAGAAACCUUUUCUUUUUUUUUGGGUACUUACAAGUUACAAUUGGGUAAUGGGUUCUGAAAUCUUUUUGUGAUAAUAGGUUUCUGGUCUCAAUUUAGUCCUUCUUUUUCAUUUCUUUACUCUUCAUUAAAGUAUACAGAAUAUUGAUGUUAGUCAUGUUACUCAUAAUUAGUAAAAGAUGCAGAUCUACAAAUUCACAAACGUAAUUUUAGUGUAAAUACUUAAGUUUUGGAUGCUCAAGAGGUGGGAUACCUACAUUACUACUUCAUAUUAGGUCACAAGAUUGUUCAGCUGCAGUCCGUAGUUUGGCUAUAGUUUUUAUUACUAAAAUGUACUUGCAUUUAGCUCGGUCAAGUUUAUUGAGUUGUCAAAACACGGUAGAUGCUUCGUAAGUAGUAGCUUAAUUGGCUACCAUAUCUUAUGUUAGUUAUGCCUGAAAAGUCCCACUGUUUCAUUUGUCAAACUUCUGAGAAUCUCUUGAUGUGUAUUCUCUGUGUGGCUUUGUUGGUUGUGGGAGGUAAGAAAUUUUUUCUUGAUCUCUCUCUCUCUCUCUCUCCCUCCCCCCGUGUA
Long non-coding RNA from Rosa rugosa (rugosa rose), 1729 nucleotides. RefSeq lists it as uncharacterized. The record is from RefSeq and is a predicted model, not a curated record. The transcript has 5 exons. Lineage: Eukaryota; Viridiplantae; Streptophyta; Magnoliopsida; Rosales; Rosaceae.